AACCUGGUUGAUCCUGCCAGUUACAUAUGCUUGUCUUAAAUAUUAACCCAUGCAUGUGCCAGUUCAGUAUUGAACAGCGAAACUGCGAAUGGCUCAUUAAAACAGUUAUAGUUUAUUUGAUAAUUAAAGAUUACAUGGAUAACCGAGCUAAUUGUUGGGCUAAUACAUGCUUAAAAUUCCGUGUCCUGCGACCGGAACGUAUUUAUUAGAUAUUAGACCAAUCGCAGCAAUGUGAUUGAGAUGAAUCAAAGUAACUGAUCGAAUCGAGGCUUGCUUCGAUAAAUCAUCUAAGUUUCUGCCCUAUCAGCUCUCGAUGGUAGUGUAUUGGACUACCAUGGCAGUCACGGGUAACGGAGAAUUAGGGUUCGAUUCCGGAGAAGGAGCCUGAGAAACGGCUACUACAACUACGGUUCGGCAGCAGGGAAGAAAAUUGGCCAAUCCUAAUCCAGGGAGCCAGUGACAAGAAAUAGCAAGCUGGGAAACCUAGUUUCUACGGCAUUGAAAUGAGAAAAGUGUUAAUCUCUUAGCGAGGAACAAUUGGAGGGCAAGUCAUGGUGCCAGCAGCCGCGGUAAUUCCAGCUCCAAUAGCGUAUAUUAAAGUUGUUGCAGUUAAAAAGCUCGUAGUUGAACUUCUGCUCAGGUUUAUAACGACUCGUCGUGUAAAACUGGACAUACGUUUGCAAACUAAAAUCGGCCUUCACUGGUUCGACUUAGGGAGUAAACAUUUUACUGUGAAAAAAUUAGAGUGUUCCAGGCAGGUUUUAGCCCGAAUACAUUAGCAUGGAAUAAUGGAAUAGGACUAAGUCCAUUUUAUUGGUUCUUGGAUUUGGUAAUGAUUAAUAGGGACAGUUGGGGGCAUUAGUAUUUAAUAGUCAGAGGUGAAAUUCUUGGAUUUAUUAAGGACUAACUAAUGCGAAAGCAUUUGCCAAAGAUGUUUUCAUUAAUCAAGAACGAAAGUUAGGGGAUCAAAGACGAUCAGAUACCGUCGUAGUCUUAACUAUAAACUAUACCGACUCGGGAUCGGCUGGAAUAAAUGUCCAGUCGGCACCGUAUGAGAAAUCAAAGUCUUUGGGUUCUGGGGGAAGUAUGGUACGCAAGUCUGAAACUUAAAGGAAUUGACGGAACAGCACACCAGAAGUGGAACCUGCGGCCUAAUUUGACUCAACACGGGGAAACUCACGAGCGCAAGACAGAGAAGGGAUUGACAGAUUGAGAGCUCUUUCUUGAUUCUUUGGGUGGUGGUGCAUGGCCGUUCUUAGUUGGUGGAGUGAUUUGUCUGGUUAAUUCCUUUAACGAACGAGACCUUAACCUGCUAACUAGUCUGCUUGUGAACAACAGGUUGUACUUCUUAGAGGGACUAUUGUGCAAGAAGCCAAUGGAAGUUUAAGGCAAUAACAGGUCUGUGAUGCCCCUAGACGUGCUCGGCCGCACGCGCGUUACAAUGACUGGCGCAGAAAGUAUUUCCUGUCCUGGGAAGGUACGGGUAAUCUUAUUAAUACCAGUCGUGUUAGGGAUAGUUCUUUGGAAUUGUGGAUCUUGAACGAGGAAUUUCUAGUAAGUGCAAGUCAUCAGCUUGCGUUGAUUAUGUCCCUGCCGUUUGUACACACCGCCCGUCGCUUGUAGUAACGAAUGGUCUGGUGAACCUUCUGGACUGCGAUAGCAAUAUUGCGGAAAAAUAAGUAAACCCUACCAUUUGGAACAACAAGAAGUCGUAACAAGGUAUCUGUAGGUGAACCUGCAGAUGGAUCAUUAACACAAUUAACAAACCUUAACUUAUGUACUUUCAAAGAGAACUUCGGUUUUCUUUGAGGUUUUAUUGUCACACCUAGUGUGAAUAAAAAUUUUUCAUAUGUCUAAGAUCUGGAUAACACCCAAAAAACGAAAAGAAAAUUUUCAACGGUGGAUAUCUAGGUUCCCGUGACGAUGAAGAACGCAGCGAAAUGCGAUACGCAAUGCGAAUUGCAGAACCGCGAGUCAUCAGAUCUUUGAACGCAAGUGGUGGAGGUGUAAAAACCUUCAUGUUUGUUUCAGUGUGGAAAGGAAUCACGCAUCUUAAUGCGAUUGAAGCAGCGCAAGAAGCUUCUCUCGUUAAACGUGAUGGGUGGUCGAGCAAUCGCCGCCAGAACGAAGUAGUCACAUUCGUGUAAUGUGAACAUUCGUUCAGGCAUAAAGGCGAAUGCUCACUAUGCUACUCAUAGAAAUUUAUUUUUCUCACAACACCUGAAACAAGCAAGAUUACCCGCUGAACUUAAGCAUAUCAGUAAGCGGAGGAAAAGAAACUAAC
This 2284-nucleotide ribosomal RNA is filed under the name Tetrahymena rostrata. Its description in RNAcentral is "SSU rRNA". The stretch from base 1 to 1752 matches the Rfam family "Eukaryotic small subunit ribosomal RNA". The record is from RNAcentral. Lineage: Eukaryota; Ciliophora; Oligohymenophorea; Hymenostomatida; Tetrahymenidae.